RNAcentral lists this ribosomal RNA (478 nucleotides) under uncultured bacterium. RNAcentral's name for it is "partial 16S ribosomal RNA". It matches the Rfam family "Bacterial small subunit ribosomal RNA", at positions 28 to 523 of the family's 1533-position model. The record is from RNAcentral.
GACGAACGCUGGCGGCGUGCUUAACACAUGCAAGUCGAACGGUAAGGCCCUUCGGGGUACACGAGUGGCGAACGGGUGAGUAACACGUUGGUGAUCUGCCCUGCACUUCGGGAUAAGCCUGGGAAACUGGGUCUAAUACCGGAUAGGACCACUGCCUGCAUGGGUGGUGGUGGAAAGCUGUUGCGGUGGGGGAUGGGCCCGCGGCCUAUCAGCUUGUUGGUGGGGUGGUGGACUACCAAGGCGACGACGGGUAGCCGGCCUGAGGGGGUGACCGGCCACACUGGGACUGAGAUACGGCCCAGACUCCGACGGGAGGCAGCAGUGGGGAAUAUUGCACAAUGGGCGCAAGCCUGAUGCAGCGACGCCGCGUGAGGGAUGACGGCCUUCGGGUUGUAAACCUCUUUCAGCACCGACGAAGCGCAAGUGACGGUAGGUGCAGAAGAAGGACCGGCCAACUACGUGCCAGCCGCCGCCGUAA